ACUGCAGGACAGGAAAAAGCAAGUGAUGAGACAGCAUUUUCACCAGAUGAAAAAGGUGUCGCUUGUGAAACCAUCCCAUCACCUGAGGCCCGAAAACAGUUUGAAGAAAAUGGAGGGCCAUCUAGAACAAUGCUGUCCGCAGGUCUUGCAAGCAACACUAUUGUGCGUUCCAACCUUUUCGCUACUUCAAAAGCG
Molecule: non-coding RNA, 195 nt
Organism: Procambarus clarkii (red swamp crayfish)
Lineage: Eukaryota; Metazoa; Arthropoda; Malacostraca; Decapoda; Cambaridae
Source: RefSeq, a predicted model, not a curated record